GAUGAACGCUGGCGGCGUGCCUAACACAUGCAAGUCGAACGGAAACUAAGCGCUUCGGAGACUUCGGUCAAUGUUUGCUUGGUUUUAGUGGCGGACGGGUGAGUAACGCGUGGAUAACCUGCCUCAUACAGGGGGAUAACAGUUAGAAAUGACUGCUAAUACCGCAUAAGCGCACAGUUUCGCAUGGAACAGUGUGAAAAACUCCGGUGGUAUGAGAUGGAUCCGCGUCUGAUUAGCUAGUUGGCGGGGUAACAGCCCACCAAGGCGACGAUCAGUAGCCGGCCUGAGAGGGUGAACGGCCACAUUGGGACUGAGACACGGCCCAAACUCCUACGGGAGGCAGCAGUGGGGGAUAUUGCACAAUGGGGGAAACCCUGAUGCAGCGACGCCGCGUGAGUGAAGAAGUAUUUCGGUAUGUAAAGCUCUAUCAGCAGGGAAGAUAAUGACGGUACCUGACUAAGAAGCACCGGCUAAAUACGUGCCAGCAGCCGCGGUAAUACGUAUGGUGCAAGCGUUAUCCGGAUUUACUGGGUGUAAAGGGAGCGUAGACGGCUUAGCAAGUCUGAUGUGAAAGCUAUGGGCUCAACCCAUAAACUGCAUUGGAAACUGUUCAGCUGGAGUGUCGGAGAGGUAAGCGGAAUUCCUAGUGUAGCGGUGAAAUGCGUAGAUAUUAGGAGGAACACCGGUGGCGAAGGCGGCUUACUGGACGAUAACUGACGUUGAGGCU
This 727-nucleotide ribosomal RNA is filed under the name uncultured bacterium. RNAcentral describes it as "bacterial SSU rRNA". It matches the Rfam family "Bacterial small subunit ribosomal RNA", at positions 28 to 753 of the family's 1533-position model. The record is from RNAcentral.